ACUUAACAACCGAAGUAACCCGCAAUGCGGAAGGGCGAGGGGAUUGCGAGUCACCGAGUUUCCCGCGCGGCUUGAGUCCUGGCCUAGAAAGAAAGAUGUUGAGGUUCCCAGGACCAGGACAGAGGUGGUGGUGAACUCUCAUGGGCAUCCAGAGAAGGUCAGGCCCCUUGCUGACAGGCCUAUCUGUGGGGCUACUGCUGCUCUUCAGCUGGGUGACCCUUGUCCAGCCAACCUCUCUCUCAGAGGAAGCCUACUGCUGCCACCUGCAGGCGGCAGGGGGCUCCUGCUGCACCCGGGCUGAAUUUGAGGCCCUGUACCAAGUCAAUCUGUCCGCCCUUCCGCCCCCGCCCAUCCUCAGGGGCCUAGGCCCGCUCCUAGUGCUGGGCCUCUACAACCUACUGGUUGUGACCCUGAUGACCGUAGACCUCGUGCACUUCUGCUGCGGUCGGGGCCGGAGUCGGGGCUGGAGCCACCGCAGGCCUCCCUCUGGGUCCUCCGCCGCGAGCUCCCUGCAGGUCUCUGCGGGGACAGCUUAG
RNAcentral lists this small RNA (536 nucleotides) under Pan troglodytes (chimpanzee). Its description in RNAcentral is "processed transcript". Lineage: Eukaryota; Metazoa; Chordata; Mammalia; Primates; Hominidae. The record is from RNAcentral.